AUCGCUUCUCGGCCUUUUGGCUAAGAUCAAGUGUAGUAUCUGUUCUUAUCAGUUUAAAAUUAUUGUAAGUAAAUAUGGUCUAGGUGAAGCCUAGUAAGUUUAGGGUAACAGAUUUGCUUCUCUGUAUAUAUUUUUAAAGCUGCACAGAUUUUGUGAGCUACUUUUGAGUUUACAGAUUUUGGUACUAUUUAUAACUCCCUGUUGUCUGUAUUCCUA
Molecule: small nuclear RNA, 216 nt
Filed under: Moschus moschiferus (Siberian musk deer)
Lineage: Eukaryota; Metazoa; Chordata; Mammalia; Artiodactyla; Moschidae
Description: U2 spliceosomal RNA (ENSMMSG00000018686.1)
Rfam family: U2 spliceosomal RNA (bases 1-150)
About the family: U2 is a small nuclear RNA (snRNA) component of the spliceosome (involved in pre-mRNA splicing). Complementary binding between U2 snRNA (in an area lying towards the 5' end but 3' to hairpin I) and the branchpoint sequence (BPS) of the intron results the bulging out of an unpaired adenosine, on the BPS, which initiates a nucleophilic attack at the intronic 5' splice site, thus starting the first of two transesterification reactions that mediate splicing.
Source: RNAcentral